This 467-nucleotide ribosomal RNA is filed under the name uncultured bacterium. RNAcentral's name for it is "partial 16S ribosomal RNA". It matches the Rfam family "Bacterial small subunit ribosomal RNA", at positions 28 to 506 of the family's 1533-position model. The record is from RNAcentral.
GACGAACGCUGGCGGCGUGCUUAACACAUGCAAGUCGAACGGAAAGGCCCUGCUUUUGUGGGGUGCUCGAGUGGCGAACGGGUGAGUAACACGUGAGUAACCUGCCCUUGACUUUGGGAUAACUUCAGGAAACUGGGGCUAAUACCGGAUAGGAGCUCCUGCUGCAUGGUGGGGGUUGGAAAGUUUCGGCGGUUGGGGAUGGACUCGCGGCUUAUCAGCUUGUUGGUGGGGUAGUGGCUUACCAAGGCUUUGACGGGUAGCCGGCCUGAGAGGGUGACCGGCCACAUGGGGACUGAGAUACGGCCCAGACUCCUACGGGAGGCAGCAGUGGGGAAUAUUGCACAAUGGGCGGAAGCCUGAUGCAGCAACGCCGCGUGCGGGAUGACGGCCUUCGGGUUGGAAACCGCUUUCGCCUGUGACGAAGCGUGAGGGACGGUAAUGGGUAAAGAAGCACCGGCUAACUACGU